GAUGAACGCUGACAGAAUGCUUAACACAUGCAAGUCGACUGGAAUUCUUCUUCGGAAGAUAGUACGGUGGCGGACGGGUGAGUAACGCGUAAAGAAUUUGCCCUUCAGACUGGGACAACUAACCGAAAGGUUAGCUAAUACCGGAUAUUAUGAGACCUCGGCAUCGAGGACUCAUGAAAGCUAUAUGCGCUGGAGGAGAACUUUGCGUCCCAUUAGGUAGUUGGUAGGGUAAUGGCCUACCAAGCCGACGAUGGGUAGCCGGCCUGAGAGGGUGAACGGCCACAAGGGGACUGAGACACGGCCCUUACUCCUNACGGGAGGCAGCAGUGGGGAAUAUUGGACAAUGGACCAAAAGUCUGAUCCAGCAAUUCUGUGUGCACGAUGAAGGUCUUCGGAUUGUAAAGUGCUUUCAGGUGGGAAGAAGAAAGUGACGGUACCACCAGAAGAAGCGACGCUAAA
Molecule: ribosomal RNA, 459 nt
Filed under: uncultured bacterium
Lineage: Bacteria
Description: bacterial SSU rRNA
Rfam family: Bacterial small subunit ribosomal RNA
Source: RNAcentral